Molecule: long non-coding RNA, 1174 nt
Filed under: Eucalyptus grandis
Lineage: Eukaryota; Viridiplantae; Streptophyta; Magnoliopsida; Myrtales; Myrtaceae
Description: long non-coding RNA (EGRA_LNC006033)
Source: RNAcentral
CCCAUCAUUCCUUGCCUUUUUCGGCAAUGGUGGGUGGCUACGAGGGCCUUAGCCCUCACCAAACCUAUUCCCCCUUCUUCUUCUUCUUCUUCUUAUUCUUCUUCUUCUGGUGGGCGACUACGAGGGCCUUAACCCUCACCAAACCUAUUCCCCCUUCUUCUUCUUCUUCUUCUUCUUCUUCUUCGUUCCUUGCCUUCUUUGGCAAUGGUGGGCGGCUACGAGGGACUUAGCCCUCACCAAACCUAUUCCCCCUUCUUCUUCUUCUUCGCCCUCACCAAACCUAUUCCCCCUUCUUCUUCUUCUUCGCCCUCAACAAACCUAUUCCCCCUCCUUCUUCUUCUUCUUCUUCUUCUGGUGGGCGGCUACGAGGGCCUUAACCCUCACCAAACCUAUUCCCCCUUCUUCUUCUUCUUCUUCUUCUUCUUCUUCUUCUUCUUCUUCGUUCCUUGCCUUUUUUGGCAAUGGUGAGCGGCUACGAGGGCCUUAGCCCUCACCAAACCUAUUCCCCCUUCUCCUUCUCCUCCUCCUCCUCCUCCUCCUCCUCCUCCUUCUUAUUCUUCUCCUAAUGGGCGGCUACGAGGGCCUUAGCCCUCACCAAACCUAUUCCCCCUUCUUCAUCAUCAUCUUCUUCUUCUUCUUCUUCUUCUUCUUCUUCUUCUUCUUCUUCGUUCCAUGCCUUUUUUGGCAAUGGUGGACGGCUACGAGGGCCUUAGCCCUCACCAAAUCUAUUCCCCCUUGUUUUUCUUCUUCUUCUUCUUCUCCUGGUGGGCGGCUACGAGGGCCUUAGCCCUCACCAAACCUAUUCCCCCUUCUUCUUAUUCUUCUUUUUCUUCUUCUUCUCCUUGCCUUUUUUGGCAAUGGUGGGCGGCUACGAGGGCCUUAGGCCUCACCAAACCUAUUCCCCUUCUCCUCUUUCUUCCUUGCCCUCACCCUCCCCCUAUUCCCCCUCCUCCUUCUUCUUCUUCUUCUGGUGGGCGGCUACGAGGGCCUUAACCCUCACCAAACCUAUUCCCCCUCCUCCUUCUUCUUCUUCUUCUGGUGGGCGGCUACGAGGGCCUUAACCCUCACCAAACCUAUUCCCCCUUCUUCUUCUUCUUCUUCUUCUUCUUCUUCUUCUUCUUCUUCUUCUCCUUGCCUUUUUUGGCAAUAGUGGGCGGCUACGAGGGCCUUAGCC